GGAAAUUAAACCAACUGGGAUCUCUUCAGUAAUUGCGCAUGAACCAGGAUAUGCUUAGCUUGACAAAUGGAGCUGCUGGCUCUGAAUUGUAUUGUGGGAAUGUAUUACCAACAGAGGUGCAGGUGUCAGCCAUUUGAAAGAAAGCAUCAAUGAGGGUGAGAGUCCUGUUUGUCAUGUGCAGCCUUCUGUGCACGGUGUAUAUUUGCUGAGUCACACUCCUYGGCAUUGGAAUGCAAAGUGGGUGGUAAGUUUCAUGCAAAGGUAAAUAUGCAAUUGAGACUGAUAGCGCACAAGUACCAUGAGGGACAUAUGAAAAGGACUUUGAACAGAGAAUUAAAUGAGUUUGUAUUUGCUAAACACAAAGUAAACAGACUUGAUUUCCUCAGUGAGAUUGUAGUGMUUGCUURACAAUGGGUUUUGGCUGCAAGUGCAAUAAUUCUUGCUUUGUGUGCCAGUUUUUAUGUGGACAUUUGAUUACCUUUGCACAUGAAUGGUAAUUUUCCUGCGGGGUGUGGAUUGCAUAUGCAUGUAAUGAUUUGCAUGUUYGUUAARUGUGUCUGGUGUAUUUGUUUGUGUCCUUGUCCUUGAGGUUGCUUUCUCCCUUGGGCUUACAUGCCCUGGCACACACAUUCUGGCAAAAUGCUUCUGCUUGACCCGUCUUGAAACACGGUCCAAGG
This 677-nucleotide ribosomal RNA is filed under the name Alexandrium catenella. Its description in RNAcentral is "eukaryotic LSU rRNA". It matches the Rfam family "Eukaryotic large subunit ribosomal RNA", at positions 55 to 671 of the family's 3401-position model. Lineage: Eukaryota; Dinophyceae; Gonyaulacales; Pyrocystaceae. The record is from RNAcentral.